Thamnophis sirtalis is the source of this 1791-nucleotide non-coding RNA. NCBI's taxonomy places the organism in Eukaryota, Metazoa, Chordata, Lepidosauria, Squamata, Natricidae. The record is from RefSeq and is a predicted model, not a curated record.
UUCUCAAGAGAGAAAAAGGAAACCGAAAACUCUGGAAACUGGAAAAGUGGCUUUUGCACAAACAUUGGAAGACUUAAAAGCUAGAAUCAUCUACUCAGGCACACUGUCGUGAUUGAUAUUCCUUGGAGACAGUGUACAUCUGAGGAGCCAGAAGGAUCAUUCUCUUGUACAGAAGCUCAGAGCAAAAUGGAAAUAGACAAGAACCUGCUUCUCAAGCAAAAUCAAGCAACUGAAGGAAGCCCAGCUUUCCCUUUGAAAUUUAACAACCAGGACUUUGUUAAACUGCAAAACUACUGCCUGCAUCAGGGCCUACUUUUUGAAGAUGACACAUUCCCAGCAAAUAGUUAUUCCAUUGGACUUAAUUUGUUUUCACAAGAGAAACUGAGAAAAGUACAGUGGUUGAGACCAAAAAAACUGAAACCACAAGAAUUCAAGAUAACUCCUAGAGGCAUGGCCAUGGCACUCUGCAUUCCGAUGAGUCAGGCAUAAACAGUCACAAUGAGAUAACAACCUUGCAUAAACUAUUCAAGAAAGGAAGCAAUCUAAAGUGGAAAAAAGCAAAUAAUUUAAACAGAUCCACCCCUUCAUUGCACUAGACUAGAGAAACAAGAAUAAAAAAUAGACAAUGUUCCACCCCAAAAGCAAAGAGGGAAGAAACAAUGCCCUGGUCAUGGCUGGCAAGGCAAGCUGCCAAACCAAACAGCCAUAAAACUCCAUUCCUCGACACACUGAUGAUGUUACAUGGCCUACUAAUGAAAUGUUUCCAGGAAGAGACACAAACUCAAAGAACACUGAGAACUGAACAACUCAGCCUCGAGCUAAAUCAGUUCUCCACAAUGGCAGACACAUAUUACGUCAACGAUUUGCCCAUAAUCAAAACCAUACAAUCCUGUAUGUUAUGCUUAAAAUUUGAAAUACCAUCUUUUAAAAAUCUAGAAUACCUUGAUGUAGAAAUUUGAUACUAGUUACUUCCAUCCAAUAGGCAAAAAUCUGGUCCUUUGAUAUUUUUUCACUUUAACACUGAUCAAAUAGCUAAUUUACUGAUGAGAAUUAAAAAAAAGAUGCCUUUGAAUCAAACUGAAUUCCUGAUAACCCUGCAGUUUUUCUCAGCCAUAAUAUGGAAGAUUUGCCAGGGCUUCUUCCAGGAUGGUUUUUCAGUUUCCCGCAUAGCCUAUAGUUCUGAUAUUCUCUGAUCAUUUACCAUUCAAGAAUUUACCUGGCCUGAUCUUGCUCAGCUUCCUUACAAGACCACCCUGCUGACACAUCUUUGCUAUGCAUGCACAGUUCAUUUCACUUUUUAAACAUCCUCAUGGCAUGAUUAAGUACAUUCCAAUCCAUGCAGUGAUUGCUACUGGUUUAAGACCAGUCUUAGUGCCUUCCAGGGAGUUGGAUUAUAACUCCUAGAAUCCCAAGCAGAGUGGCCAAAGGCUAGAGAGAAUUAGACUCCUUCCUUUUUAGUAUCAGUGGAUGCUUAAGAACUCUUUCCUUUCAUUUUAGUCUCUUCUGGGCCUUUGGCCAUUUGAAGAAUUUGGAAACAUAGAAGUGAAAGAGAGACAGGGGUUGUUAAUCUUUUUGCCAACUAUGGCAGCUUGAUUGGCAGAUGUUAGCAGUAAACUAGCUGGAUUUUAUGCCAGCUAAAUUAACUCUUAAUUUAUUUUAAACCUGAAAAUCACAUAAAAUACUGGAUGGGGAUUACUAUAAAUGUGUGUUAAAAUAUAAUAGAUUUCUAGCUAAAUUAAGCUAAAUGGUAUUAUUGAUUUUUAUUUAAUCUAUUUUUAGAAACAUUUUAAG